GGGCGGCAGGUAGUCUAGUGGUUAGAGUGGAGGGGCGGCAGGUAGCCUAGUGGUUAGAGUGGAGCGGCGGCAGGUAGCCUAGUGGUUAGAGUGGAGGGGCGGCAUGUAGCCUAGUGGUUAGAGUGGAGGGGCGGCAGGUAGCCUAGUGGUUAGAGUGGAGGGGCGGCAUGUAGCCUAGUGGUUAGAGUGGAGGGGCGGCAUGUAGCCUAGUGGUUAGAGUGGAGGGGCGGCAGGUAGCCUAGUGGUUAGAGUGGAGGGGCGGCAUGUAGCCUAGUGGUUAGAGUGGAGGGGCGGCAGGUAGCCUAGUGGUUAGAGUGGAGGGGCGGCAGGUAGCCUAGUGGUUAGAGUGUUGGACUAGUAACCGAAAGGUUGCAAGUUCAAAUCCCGAGCUGACAAGUUACAAAUCUGUCGUUCUGCCC
Oncorhynchus tshawytscha (Chinook salmon) is the source of this 419-nucleotide long non-coding RNA. Lineage: Eukaryota; Metazoa; Chordata; Actinopteri; Salmoniformes; Salmonidae. The record is from Ensembl.